UUGGGAAUAUUGGUCAAUGGGCGAAAGCCUGAACCAGCAAUGCCGCGUGAGUGAUGAAGGCCUUCGGGUCGUAAAGCUCUUUUAGCAGGGACAAAGGGCAACUUGAUGGUACCUGCAGAAAAAGCACCGGCUAACUCUGUGCCAGCAGCCGCGGUAAUACAGAGGGUGCAAGCGUUGUUCGGAAUCAUUGGGCGUAAAGCGCGUGUAGGCGGUCAUUUAAGUCUGGUGUGAAAGCCCGGGGCUUAACUCCGGAAGUGCACUGGAUACUGAAUGACUAGAGGGCGAGAGGGGGAAGCGGAAUUCUUGGUGUAGGGGUGAAAUCCGUAGAUAUCAAGAGGAACAUCGGUGGCGAAGGCGGCUUCCUGGCUCGUUUCUGACGCUCAGACGCGAAAGCGUGGGGAGCAAACAGG
RNAcentral lists this ribosomal RNA (410 nucleotides) under uncultured bacterium. RNAcentral's name for it is "bacterial SSU rRNA". It matches the Rfam family "Bacterial small subunit ribosomal RNA", at positions 355 to 776 of the family's 1533-position model. The record is from RNAcentral.